This 453-nucleotide ribosomal RNA is filed under the name uncultured bacterium. RNAcentral's name for it is "bacterial SSU rRNA". It matches the Rfam family "Bacterial small subunit ribosomal RNA", at positions 8 to 507 of the family's 1533-position model. The record is from RNAcentral.
AGAGUUUGAUCAUGGCUCGAGAAUGAACGCUGGCGGCAGGCCUAACACGUGCAAGUCGAAACGGGUCCUUCGGGACUAGUGCGGACGGGUGAGUAACGCGUGGGAACAUACCCUUUGGUACGGAAUAGCCUCGGGAAACUGGGAGUAAUACCGUAUGUGGUCGAGAGACGAAAGAUUUAUCGCCAAAGGAUUGGCCCGCGUUGGAUUAGGUAGUUGGUGGGGUAAUGGCCUACCAAGCCGACGAUCCAUAGCUGGUUUGAGAGGAUGAUCAGCCACACUGGGACUGAGACACGGCCCAGACUCCUACGGGAGGCAGCAGUGGGGAAUCUUAGACAAUGGGGAAACCCUGAUCUAGCCAUGCCGCGUGAUCGAUGAAGGCCUUAGGGUUGUAAAGAUCUUUCAGGUGGGAAGAUAAUGACUGUACCACCAGAAGAAGCCCCGGCUAACUCCGUG